RNAcentral lists this ribosomal RNA (253 nucleotides) under uncultured bacterium. RNAcentral describes it as "partial 16S ribosomal RNA". It matches the Rfam family "Bacterial small subunit ribosomal RNA", at positions 524 to 776 of the family's 1533-position model. The record is from RNAcentral.
UACGUAGGGGGCAAGCGUUGUCCGGAUUUAUUGGGCGUAAAGAGCGUGUAGGCGGCUUUACAGGUCCGUUGUGAAAACUCGAGGCUCAACCUCGAGACGCCGGUGGAAACCGUAAAGCUAGAGUCCGGAAGAGGAGAGUGGAAUUCCUGGUGUAGCGGUGAAAUGCGCAGAUAUCAGGAGGAACACCGGUGGCGAAGGCGGGUCUCUGGGCCGUAACUGACGCUGAGGAGCGAAAGCGUGGGGAGCAAACAGG